GUUGUGUAACUAAAUACUUCAGAAUGAACACAGUUUUUAACCUGAUAUUUUCAACGUUUUUACAAGAUUCAAUAUGUUUAAAACUGCUUUUUUGUCAAGCUAUCGCAACGAAUGCGUUUCAGUUAAAUACCCUGUAUACAUUUUUAACUGUUCGCAUCUAGCUCAAUAGUGCAAGUGCAAAAUGUAAAGCGUGCUUUCAUCUGUUUCUUUAACUCUAAUUAGCCCAUUGAACUAAGUGAGCUAUUAUCCUCAACUGUCGUCCGUAAACCUUAAAAAAAUACCAGGGCAAUUAUUGAUUUUUAUUCGCCUGUUUUUUUUUAUAUUUUGUCAUCUAAAGACUACCUUGCGAAAUGUUUUUGAAACUUCAGAGUGUAAACGAGAACAAAUUCAUCCCACGCUACAUUUUUCAAAAGUUGUGUACUUGUAAAAUGUAGGGGUAUGUUUGGCAGUUGAAUAAUUCAGGCUCCAAGAGUCUCUUGUUUCUAUAUACAAAAAAUAUUCUCGCUAAUUUCCUAAUAUAUGUAUAAGUUAGAAUUUGCUUUUUUCGGAAUGCAAAACAUUUUUAGUAUUAUUUUCGAAAGCAUACACCUGACGUUAUGAUUGGUCAAUGCCGUAAAAAACUUAUGAAUAUUCA
This 634-nucleotide long non-coding RNA is filed under the name Mytilus galloprovincialis (Mediterranean mussel). Lineage: Eukaryota; Metazoa; Mollusca; Bivalvia; Mytilida; Mytilidae. The record is from RNAcentral.